ACUGAGUGGCGGACGGGUGAGUAACGGCGUGGGUAACCUGACCCUGUACAGGGGAUAACAGUUAGAAAUGACUGCUAAUACCGCAGUAAGCGCACGAUGGUAGCAGUUACCAGGUGUGAAAAACUCCGGUGGUACAGGAUGGGCCCGCGUCUGAUUAGCUAGUUGCGGGGUAAGAGCCCACCAAGGCGACGAUCAGUAGCCGGUCUGAGAGGGUGAACGGCCACAUUGGAACUGAGACACGGUCCAAAUCCUACGGGAGGCAGCAGUGGGGAAUAUUGCACAAUGGGGGGAACCCUGAUGCAGGACCAACGCCGCGUGAGUGACGAAGUAUUUCGGUAUGUAAAGCUCUAUCAGCAGGGAAGAUAAUGACGGUACCUGACUAAGAAGCUCCGGCUAAAUACGUGCCAGCCGCGGC
Molecule: ribosomal RNA, 415 nt
Filed under: uncultured bacterium
Lineage: Bacteria
Description: bacterial SSU rRNA
Rfam family: Bacterial small subunit ribosomal RNA
Source: RNAcentral